Molecule: ribosomal RNA, 444 nt
Filed under: uncultured soil bacterium
Lineage: Bacteria
Description: bacterial SSU rRNA
Rfam family: Bacterial small subunit ribosomal RNA
Source: RNAcentral
AGAACGAACGCUGGCGGCAUGCCUAACACAUGCAAGUCGAACGAGACCUUCGGGUCUAGUGGCGCACGGGUGCGUAACGCGUGGGAAUCUGCCCUUAGGUUCGGAAUAACAGUUAGAAAUGACUGCUAAUACCGGAUAAUGUCUUCGGACCAAAGAUUUAUUGCCUAAGGAUGAGCCCGCGUAAGAUUAGCUUGUUAGUGAGGUAAAGGCUCACCAAGGCGACGAUCUUUAGCUGGUCUGAGAGGAUGAUCAGCCACACUGGGACUGAGACACGGCCCAGACUCCUACGGGAGGCAGCAGUGGGGGAAUAUUGGACAAUGGGCGAAAGCCUGAUCCAGCAAUGCCGCGUGAGUGAUGAAGGCCUUAGGUUGUAAAGCUCUUUUACCCGGGAUGAUAAUGACAGUACCGGAGAAUAAGCCCGGCUAACUCCGUGCCAGCAGCCGC